AUGCAAGCUUUCUCAGACAGUGUCUGUUUCUUCCUGUGGUUCUGACACUUCGUGGAACUUUCUCUACACUCCGUGUGGCCACCGCGCACCAUCCCUGGGGCCUCAUCGUUCAAUGUCAUUUCCUCCUGGAAGCCUCCCCCAGCCCCCAGUCCGAGGGAGGUCGCCAUCUGUCGUGGCUUUCAAAUCUGUCAGCUUGACAAGAGGCACUGCGUCUCCUGGAACUCCCUUCCCUGUCCCUCUCCAGCUGCUCCAACCUCGGAUGUAAAAACAACACCAUGACAGAAGCUGCUUAGAUGCUUAGCCAGCUCCCACAAUUGCAUGAGGACAGAGAAACUUAUUCUCAUGGUUCUGGAGACUGGGAAGUCCAAGACCAAGGCUCUGGCAGAUUUGGUGUCUGCUGAGAGCCCUGUUCCUCAGUGAUGACCAUCUUCUCACGGUGUCCUCACCGGGUGGACAGGAGAGGGAGUGAUCUCGGGUCUCUUGUAUAAGGGCACUAGUCCCAUUCAUGAAGGCUCCAUCUCAUGACCGCACCACCUCCCAAAGCUCCUAUCUCCUGAUAUCAUCACACUGGGGGUAGGUUUCAAUGUAUGAAUUUAGAGGGGACACGAAUAUUCAGCCCAUAACACCACCCGUGUCUUUGUUUCUUAGCAGCUCUGCUUCUCUGAACCCUGACAGACCAUCCUAACAGCUCCUCAGCUAUCCAGACUUCUGAUCGUAGCCUUUACGACGCUCGGCAGUAAUUUUGUGUAAUUUCCCAAGCAAUCACUUAACUGUUCAAGCUUUCCUUAGUGUGACAUCCCAUGUAUUUGUUUGAGAGCAGCACUUCACGAGGGUGGGGACUCAGCAUGGCUUGUCCUCAGCUGUAUUCCCUGGGAUGACAUAGUCUCUGGCAUCAACUAGGUGCCCAGCAAAUAUUUGCUGCAUGAAAAACAGAGUGAGUUUUAUUUCCUUUGAAUUUUUGUUUCCCUUGUUUAGCAGGAAUUUGUUUUGACGCUUUAUAGCUAGGACAUGGGCUCAUUUCUUGUGCACAUACAAGGAUGAAAAAGGUCAAUGCGUAGUAAUUGUGGGAAGAAAUAAACGUCUGGUUCUAGAAUCUUUCAGAAAAAUAAACUGGUUUAAAGCA
Molecule: long non-coding RNA, 1123 nt
Organism: Herpailurus yagouaroundi (jaguarundi)
Lineage: Eukaryota; Metazoa; Chordata; Mammalia; Carnivora; Felidae
Exons: 2
Source: RefSeq, a predicted model, not a curated record